This 579-nucleotide long non-coding RNA is filed under the name Vulpes vulpes (red fox). RNAcentral describes it as "lncRNA (ENSVVUG00000006740.1)". Lineage: Eukaryota; Metazoa; Chordata; Mammalia; Carnivora; Canidae. The record is from RNAcentral.
GUAUUCAUCACCCCACAAGGCUGUGAUGGUGUGGCAUGAUGGUGAGAGAGGGCCUGGUUGAAGAUUUCCCUCCUCUCAAAGAACUUACAACCUGUUGAGUUAGCAUUUCAGUGGUGAAUACAGAAGACAAAACCAGUGUAGAACAAGUAACAUAGAAAGAGAAGAAGAGACAGUACUAGAUACAGAACAGACAACAGGAGGAGAAAACUCAGACUUUGGCAAAAGCCACAUUACCCAAUGGGGCUGCAGGGAAUGUCAGCGAGGGGCAGGUGGGAUCGGCAGUCUGACCCCGCAGACAUGUAUUGUGCUCCUGCUGUGUGCCAAGAGAGGAGGUGUGCAAGUGUGCCAGCGGGAGGUGGAAAGGCUCACCAUCGAGGAGCCCUGGCCUGGAGGAGAGAUGGGAUUUCAGCCCACGGAGGCGAAAUGCUGACGUGCUGCGAGGAGUGUUGGUCUUGGAGAGAGAAGAUGGACUCUGAAGAACAUUCCAGUAAUGCCGUGGCAGCAUGGAGAGCCUCUGAGUGGUUGUGUCUGCAGUACUGUUGUGGAAGAUUGACCUUUGCUGUUGUAUGUAAAGUAUAA